Molecule: ribosomal RNA, 253 nt
Filed under: uncultured bacterium
Lineage: Bacteria
Description: partial 16S ribosomal RNA
Rfam family: Bacterial small subunit ribosomal RNA
Source: RNAcentral
UACGUAGGCAGCGAGCGUUGUUCGGAGUUACUGGGCGUAAAGGGUGUGUAGGCGGUUGUUUAAGUUUGGUGUGAAAUCUCCCGGCUCAACUGGGAGGGUGCGCCGAAUACUGAAUGACUAGAAUGCGGGAGAGGAAAGUGGAAUUCCUGGUGUAGCGGUGAAAUGCGUAGAUAUCAGGAAGAACACCAAUGGCGAAAGCAGCUUUCUGGGACGGUACUGACGCUGAGACGCGAAAGCGUGGGGAGCGAACAGG